RNAcentral lists this ribosomal RNA (253 nucleotides) under uncultured bacterium. RNAcentral's name for it is "partial 16S ribosomal RNA". It matches the Rfam family "Bacterial small subunit ribosomal RNA", at positions 524 to 776 of the family's 1533-position model. The record is from RNAcentral.
UACAGAGGGGGCAAGCGUUGUUCGGAAUUACUGGGCGUAAAGGGCGCGUAGGCGGCCUUCUAAGUCGAACGUGAAAUCCCCGGGCUCAACCCGGGAACUGCGUCGGAUACUGGAUGGCUUGAAUUCGGGAGAGGGAUGCAGAAUUCCAGGUGUAGCGGUGAAAUGCGUAGAUAUCUGGAGGAAUACCGGUGGCGAAGGCGGCAUCCUGGACCGACAUUGACGCUGAGGAGCGAAAGCUAGGGGAGCAAACGGG